CUAACCAGGAAGGCAAUGUUGCCAACCAGAGGGAACAUCUAAUUCUUCUCCUUGCUAAUAUUCACAUUCAGAAAGCUAAUAAGCAAUCUGUCUUGAAGGAUCUUGCAGGCAAAGGACACCAAGUGAAUUAGAUAGAGAGGUUAAGAACUUGAGGGUGGCAUUUACUGACCUGUUUUUGAAGCAUAACACUUUCAAAGAAACUGCAAAGCCAUCGAGAUAUUGAUGCAAAGAAUGGAAGAAUGUAUUUCACUAAUUUUUGUAUACAUUUCUUGUUUUGUAUUUGGUGAUAAAGGAAUCUGAAUUGGGCAUAAAUUAUGUUGUAAUAUGAUUUCUUUAGACUAGACUAGUAGAUUAAAUAUUGUAAUUACAUUUGAGUAAUUAAUAAAAAUCUAUUUAUGUUAUCUUA
This is a long non-coding RNA of Humulus lupulus (European hop), 406 nucleotides long. RefSeq lists it as uncharacterized. The record is from RefSeq and is a predicted model, not a curated record. The transcript is spliced from 2 exons. NCBI's taxonomy places the organism in Eukaryota, Viridiplantae, Streptophyta, Magnoliopsida, Rosales, Cannabaceae.